This 271-nucleotide unclassified non-coding RNA is filed under the name Hevea brasiliensis (rubber tree). Lineage: Eukaryota; Viridiplantae; Streptophyta; Magnoliopsida; Malpighiales; Euphorbiaceae. The record is from RNAcentral.
GAUGACGACGAUGACGACGAAGAGGAGGAUGGCGAGGAAGAGGAUAAUGGCGAUGUUGAUGAAAGCCAAGGCGAAGAAUUCAAUGAGGAUGACAAUGAAGACAGUGAUUGAAACCGGAAAGAGCAUCCAAGAUUCUCGCAUCUGAUCGUCGAUCAACGUAGAAAUGAUCCAGUGUAAUCUUAAUUCUCUAUGUAGCUCCCUUUUCUCUUUAGUUUUAUUGGAGAGCUUGUAGUCAGCGAUAUGAGAGCUAUAUCUAGGAGAUUGGACGUGG